UAAGGUGAAACCGCGAAUGGCUCAUUAAAUCAGUCAUGGUUCCUUAGAACAUACCAUCCUUCUUGGAUAACUGUGGUAAUUCUAGAGCUAAUACAUGCAACAGAGCUCCGACCCUUGUGGAACGAGCGCUUUUAUUAGACCAAAGACCAAUCGGAGCUUCGGCCCCGUCAGUCUGUGGUGACUCUGGAUAACUUUUAGCGGAUCGCACGGUCAUCGUGCCGGCGACUCCUCUUUCAAAUGUCUGCCUUAUCAACUUUCGAUGGUAGGUUAAUUGCCUACCAUGGUUGUAACGGGUGACGGGGAAUCAGGGUUCGAUUCCGGAGAGGGAGCCUGAGAAACGGCUACCACAUCCAAGGAAGGCAGCAGGCACGCAAAUUACCCACUCCCAGUACGGGGAGGUAGUGACGAAAAAUAACAAUGCGGGACUCUUACGAGGCCCCGUAAUUGGAAUGAGUCCACUUUAAAUCCUUUAACGAGGACCUAUUGGAGGGCAAGUCUGGUGCCAGCAGCCGCGGUAAUUCCAGCUCCAAUAGCGUAUACUAAAGUUGUUGCGGUUAAAAAGCUCGUAGUUGGAUGUCAGUCGCGGGCGGGCGGUCCACCGUUUUGGUGGUUUACUGCUCGUCCCGCGACCUACUGGCCGGCCUCCCCCGCUAUGCUCUUCACCGGGUGUGGCGGGUGGCCGGAAAGUUUACUUUGAAAAAAUUAGAGUGCUCUAAGCAGGUGCUUGCCGCCUGAAUAACACAGCAUGGAAUAAUGGAAUAGGACCUCGGUUCUAUUUUGUUGGUUUUCGGAAUUCCGAGGUAAUGAUUAAUAGGGACAGACGGGGGCA
RNAcentral lists this ribosomal RNA (829 nucleotides) under Tylopus nodulipes. Its description in RNAcentral is "SSU rRNA". It matches the Rfam family "Eukaryotic small subunit ribosomal RNA", at positions 77 to 890 of the family's 1831-position model. The record is from RNAcentral. Lineage: Eukaryota; Metazoa; Arthropoda; Diplopoda; Polydesmida; Paradoxosomatidae.